GUGCGAGUAGCUCAGUAUCCUCAUAGAGCACCUGCAUCCAAUACGUGCGCGCGCGUGGAUGUGGGAGGUCGAUGGUUGGAGUCCAUCCUCGCACGCCA
RNAcentral lists this transfer RNA (98 nucleotides) under Verrucomicrobiota bacterium. RNAcentral's name for it is "Verrucomicrobia bacterium tRNA-OTHER". RNAcentral also lists the same sequence under 1 other name. The record is from RNAcentral. Lineage: Bacteria; Pseudomonadati; Verrucomicrobiota.